GGAGGUAUGGCUCAGUGGUAGAGCUAGUGCUUGGCAUGCAUGAGGUCCUGGGUUCAAUCCCCAGUGCCUUCU
This is a transfer RNA of Camelus ferus (Wild Bactrian camel), 72 nucleotides long. It matches the Rfam family "tRNA". Rfam says of the family: Transfer RNA (tRNA) molecules are approximately 80 nucleotides in length. Their secondary structure includes four short double-helical elements and three loops (D, anti-codon, and T loops). Further hydrogen bonds mediate the characteristic L-shaped molecular structure. tRNAs have two regions of fundamental functional importance: the anti-codon, which is responsible for specific mRNA codon recognition, and the 3' end, to which the tRNAs corresponding amino acid is attached (by aminoacyl-tRNA synthetases). tRNAs cope with the degeneracy of the genetic code in two manners: having more than one tRNA (with a specific anti-codon) for a particular amino acid; and 'wobble' base-pairing, i.e. permitting non-standard base-pairing at the 3rd anti-codon position. Lineage: Eukaryota; Metazoa; Chordata; Mammalia; Artiodactyla; Camelidae. The record is from Rfam.